Molecule: long non-coding RNA, 2178 nt
Filed under: Citrus x clementina
Lineage: Eukaryota; Viridiplantae; Streptophyta; Magnoliopsida; Sapindales; Rutaceae
Description: Citrus clementina (C. clementina) long non-coding RNA (CCLE_LNC003842)
Source: RNAcentral
AAAAUUUUUCAAAAUCGUCUUCUUCCCUAAAAUCACAGCAGUUGUUGCUCUAAAAUUUAACAAAAUUUAAGAAUUAUAUAUCUUUUUUAAAACACUAAAAAAUUCUAAGUACCUUUUUUUUAAACGACUGAAAACUAACCAUCUUUUUCCCCCCUUUCUUUUUCACCCUUUGUUUGGAGAAUUAGUUUUGCCUACUACAAAAUUGCUGUUCUUAAAAUAUGGAUUUCAUCAUUGCCCAAUUGAAGCAUCCCAGCUAAGCAGGCAAUUUGGGACAUUGUUAUAUAUAUAAUGUGGCAGCUUUUGAUUGGUUCUUCUUAACUAACAAAUAUAAUUUAAUUUAUAACCUUGAAUGUGAAUUAUUUGAUCCUUGACAGGUGGAUUUUGUGAUAAGAAAAUGAAAUUGAACAUGUUACAUUGCUUCGAACGUUGUGUUAUUGAUAAGGACAAAGCUUAAAACGCUAGGCCUUAUCUGUUUAGCCAUUAUUAUAUUCAAAGGAGGGCUUACUAAGUUCUAAUUAGCAUUGUGUUAUAGCAAAUAUCGAUUGAGCAAUUUUAAAAGUCUGAGCUUUUCUGCGAGCAAAAGCAUCCCUGAAGAGAAACACUUUUAGACUUCUGGAGUUCAAAUCCAAUUCAAUUUUUUUUUUCUUUUUUCUUUUUUCAAUAUUACAAUAUAAUUUUGUAGUUGUCUUUAAAAGAGUGUUGAGAUCCUUCACAACGUUGUUACGUUGAAGUUCAACCCACAAGUAAUCUUCUUUGUUGGAGCCAUCGUAAAAAUCCAGCUAUAUUCUCACAAUACUAAUUAACCAUCCAAAAACAAGCAUUGAAUUUUCAAUAAGGUGUUAGCCUAACAUAAAUUAAAUGAAUAUUGAAUUAUAUGAAUAUUAUUACUACGGUGAUGCGGCUAUCUAUCUAAGCAAUGACCAAAUCAUUGAAAUGUGGUCUCUUUGACCUCUAAUAUUAGGCGAGCAAAUUGAAAAAUGAAUAGCCGCCAAAGCAGAGUUGACGCCAAUUUAGACCCCUUUCUAUUUAAUUGACCUUUAAAACUCAUUGUGUUAAUGUGUACAGAUAAAACUGUAGAAACUUUGACCGCCGGCUCCAUCCCUAUCAAAAUUUGCACGAUCCCAUCGUAAGAAAUGAUCCAAAAAUUAUGAAUCUGGUUGUCGUAUUUUGAAUAUGCAAUCGAGAUGUGGAGUUUAAACGUUGGGUUCUUUAUAUCACUAUUAUUAAAAUAUCAAAAUGAUCAUUUCAUUAUUGGUCCGGCGAUAACAGACAAUCAAUGUCUCCCAUUUUGUUACCAAUCCUUUUUUUAUUUUUCCCCUAAAAACUCUCAUUAAAAGGGUAAAGAAGUCAAUAACUAAUAUCACAAACUUUCAUUAAAAAAGUAAAAAAGUUAAGGAAAAUAUUUGGUGUAGAGAAACACGCGAGAAAGACGAGAGCAACAAUGAAUAAAAGGGUAGAGAGAGAGAGAAAAAAAAAUUACUUGUAUUACAAAACCAUAACAGAUAUAGGAAAGACUGACUCAAUUCAAAUAUUUUUAUAAUUGUGGGAACUUAAACUAACUCUCAUAAUAUUUUUUGUGAAAGUUCAAACCCUUGCUCUUACACUACAUAUUAUGAGUGUAAUGAUUCUCCCACUAACUCAAAAACCCAUUAGUGUCAUAAAAACAAUACUUAAGAAAAUCUGUCAAAUCCUACUUAAAAUUAUGCCUAACAACAUAAAUUCUAACUAUAUUCACUACAAAUCCCUCGUCACGGAGAAGAAAACAAUUAUAUCAAACAUUGAUUGAAGCAAUGAAUAUUGACAGUAUAUAAUGAAAUCAAAUUAUUAAUUCUUUGUCGUACCAAAUCCUUUGUAUUCUCCUUGCUAUAUGUUAAUGAUAUGAGGCCAAAUAUACUUGGAACGCCCACAACUAAUUAGAAUUUUAUUCGUAUUCUGUUAGAUAGAAUUAAAUUUGAUUUUUUUUCUUAAACCAAUCAUAAUUAAAAUUUUUAGAUAUUAUUGCAUUAGUCCCUGUGGCUUCGCCCAUGCAUAAGUGAACAUAAAAUUUACACAAUGUGCCACCUAGACGAUUGGCAUGGAGAUUCAUUACGAAGGGAAAGACAUAAAUCUUACUUGUAUUGGGCGCAGACUUGAAGUUGUUACCUCUAUUAAUAUUUCACAAUGAAAAUAUUGAUUAAU